GCGCCCGUAGCUCAAUUGGAUAGAGCAGCGGCCUUCUAAGCCGCAGGUUUCGCGUUCGAGCCGCGACGGGCGUA
RNAcentral lists this transfer RNA (74 nucleotides) under Calditrichota bacterium. RNAcentral describes it as "Calditrichaeota bacterium (marine metagenome) tRNA-Arg". It matches the Rfam family "tRNA". Rfam says of the family: Transfer RNA (tRNA) molecules are approximately 80 nucleotides in length. Their secondary structure includes four short double-helical elements and three loops (D, anti-codon, and T loops). Further hydrogen bonds mediate the characteristic L-shaped molecular structure. tRNAs have two regions of fundamental functional importance: the anti-codon, which is responsible for specific mRNA codon recognition, and the 3' end, to which the tRNAs corresponding amino acid is attached (by aminoacyl-tRNA synthetases). tRNAs cope with the degeneracy of the genetic code in two manners: having more than one tRNA (with a specific anti-codon) for a particular amino acid; and 'wobble' base-pairing, i.e. permitting non-standard base-pairing at the 3rd anti-codon position. Lineage: Bacteria; Pseudomonadati; Calditrichota. The record is from RNAcentral.